Molecule: ribosomal RNA, 497 nt
Filed under: uncultured bacterium
Lineage: Bacteria
Description: partial 16S ribosomal RNA
Rfam family: Bacterial small subunit ribosomal RNA
Source: RNAcentral
GACGAACGCUGGCGGCGUGCCUAAUACAUGCAAGUUGAGCGCUGAAGGUUGGUACUUGUACCAACUGGAUGAGCAGCGAACGGGUGAGUAACGCGUGGGGAAUCUGCCUUUGAGCGGGGGACAACAUUUGGAAACGAAUGCUAAUACCGCAUAAAAACUUUAAACACAAGUUUUAAGUUUGAAAGAUGCAAUUGCAUCACUCAAAGAUGAUCCCGCGUUGUAUUAGCUAGUUGGUGAGGUAAAGGCUCACUAAGGCGAUGAUACAUAGCCGACCUGAGAGGGUGAUCGGCCACAUUGGGACUGAGACACGGCCCAAACGCCUACGGGAGGCAGCAGUAGGGAAUCUUCGGCAAUGGACGAAAGUCUGACCGAGCAACGCCGCGUGAGUGAAGAAGGGUGUCGGAUCGUAAAACUCGGUUGGUAGAGAAGAACGUUGGUGAGAGUGGAAAGCUCAUCAAGUGACGGUAACUACCCAGAAAGGGACGGCUAACUACGUG